Molecule: unclassified non-coding RNA, 253 nt
Filed under: uncultured Dehalococcoidia bacterium
Lineage: Bacteria; Bacillati; Chloroflexota; Dehalococcoidia
Description: contains 16S-23S intergenic spacer region
Rfam family: Bacterial small subunit ribosomal RNA
Source: RNAcentral
UACGUAGGUGGCAAGCGUUGUCCGGAAUUACUGGGCGUAAAGGGCCUGUAGGCGGCAUGGUAAGUCCGUAGUGAAAUCUCCCGGCUUAACUGGGAGCGGUCUAUGGAUACUGCCAGGCUAGAGAUCAUCAGAGGAGAGCGGAAUUCCCGGUGUAGUGGUGAAAUGCGUAGAUAUCGGGAGGAACACCAGUGGCGAAAGCGGCUCUCUGGGGUGGUUCUGACGCUGAGGGGCGAAAGCGUGGGGAGCAAACCGG